Molecule: ribosomal RNA, 497 nt
Filed under: uncultured bacterium
Lineage: Bacteria
Description: partial 16S ribosomal RNA
Rfam family: Bacterial small subunit ribosomal RNA
Source: RNAcentral
GAUGAACGCUGGCGGCGUGCCUAAUACAUGCAAGUCGAGCGAACAGACGAGGAGCUUGCUCCUCUGACGUUAGCGGCGGACGGGUGAGUAACACGUGGAUAACCUACCUAUAAGACUGGGAUAACUUCGGGAAACCGGAGCUAAUACCGGAUAAUAUAUUGAACCGCAUGGUUCAAUAGUGAAAGACGGUUUUGCUGUCACUUAUAGAUGGAUCCGCGCCGCAUUAGCUAGUUGGUAAGGUAACGGCUUACCAAGGCAACGAUGCGUAGCCGACCUGAGAGGGUGAUCGGCCAGCCUGGAAGUGAGACAGGGCCCAGACUCUUACGGGAGGCCGCAGUAGGGAAUCUUCCGCAAUGGGGGAAAGCCGGACGGAGCAACGCCGCGGGAGUGAUGAAGGUCUUCGGAUCGUAAAACUCUGUUAUUAGGGAAGAACAAAUGUGUAAGUAACUAUGCACGUCAUGACGGUACCUAAUCAGAAAGCCACGGCUAACUACGUG